RNAcentral lists this ribosomal RNA (399 nucleotides) under uncultured bacterium. Its description in RNAcentral is "bacterial SSU rRNA". It matches the Rfam family "Bacterial small subunit ribosomal RNA", at positions 355 to 750 of the family's 1533-position model. The record is from RNAcentral.
UAAGGAAUAUUGGUCAAUGGGCGCAAGCCUGAACCAGCCAUGCCGCGUGAAGGAUGACGGCCCUAUGGGUUGUAAACUUCUUUUGUACGGGAAAAAACCUCUGGUCGUGUACCAGAGCUGAUGGUACCGUAAGAAUAAGCAUCGGCUAACUCCGUGCCAGCAGCCGCGGUAAUACGGAGGAUGCAAGCGUUAUCCGGAUUCAUUGGGUUUAAAGGGUGCGCAGGCGGAUUAUUAAGUCAGUGGUGAAAGCCUACAGCUUAACUGUAGAACUGCCAUUGAUACUGAUAUUCUUGAGUGUUGUUGAGGUAGGCGGAAUGUGUCAUGUAGCGGUGAAAUGCUUAGAUAUGACACAGAACACCGAUCGCGAAGGCAGCUUACCAAGCAACAACUGACGCUCAU